RNAcentral lists this ribosomal RNA (510 nucleotides) under uncultured bacterium. RNAcentral describes it as "partial 16S ribosomal RNA". It matches the Rfam family "Bacterial small subunit ribosomal RNA", at positions 28 to 505 of the family's 1533-position model. The record is from RNAcentral.
GAUGAACGCUGGCGGCGUGCCUAAUACAUGCAAGUCGAACGAAACUUCUUUAUCACCGAGUGCUUGCACUCACCGAUAAAGAGUUGAGUGGCGAACGGGUGAGUAACACGUGGGCAACCUGCCCAAAAGAGGGGGAUAACACUUGGAAACAGGUGCUAAUACCGCAUAACCAUAGUUACCGCAUGGUAACUAUGUAAAAGGUGGCUAUACUACCGCUUUUGGAUGGGCCCGCGGCGCAUUAGCUAGUUGGUAGGGUAAAGGCUUACCAAGGCAAUGAUGCGUAGCCGAGUUGAGAGGGUGAGCCGCCACAUUGGGACUGAGACACGGCCCAAACUCCUACGGGGGGCAGCAGUAGGGAAUCUUCCACAAGGGGCGAAAGCCUGAUGGAGCAACGCCGCGUGGGUGAAGAAGGUCUUCGGAUCGUAAAACCCUGUUGUUAGAGAAGAAAGUGCGUGAGAGUAACUGUUCACGUUUCGACGGUAUCUAACCAGAGAGCCACGGCAAACUGCG